AACGAACGCUGGCGGCAUGCCUAACACAUGCAAGUCGAACGAGACCUUCGGGUCUAGUGGCGCACGGGUGCGUCACGCGUGGGAACCUGCCCUUAGGUUCGGAAUAACUCCCCGUAAGGGGUGCUAAUACCGGAUAAUGUACUCGGACAACAGAUUGAUCGCCUUUGGAUGGGCCCGCGUUGGAUUAGCUAGUUGGUAGGGUAAAAGCCUACCAAGGCGACGAUCCAUAGCUGGUCUGAGAGGAUGCUCAGCCACACUGGGACUGAGACACGGCCCAGACUCCUACGGGAGGCAGCAGUGGGGAAUAUUGGACAACGGGCGAAAGCCUGAUCCAGCAAUGCCGCGUGAGUGAUGAAGGCCGUAGGGUUGAAAAGCUCUUUUACCCGGGAUGAUAAUGACAGUACCGGGAGAAUAAGCACCGGCUAACUCCGUG
Molecule: ribosomal RNA, 433 nt
Filed under: uncultured bacterium
Lineage: Bacteria
Description: partial 16S ribosomal RNA
Rfam family: Bacterial small subunit ribosomal RNA
Source: RNAcentral